GGAGAAGCCUGAGCUCAGACUGUCAAGUGGUGCAGUGGGACUGGGCUGUUAGAAAUGGCUGAUUAGCAGAAACAGGUCAAAGUCAUCGACCCAUUUCUGGGGAGAUUCGGUGUAACAGCUGCUCUGCUGGAACUGCCUCCACUACUACCUCAGCAAAGCCUGCCAUAAUUACAGUUAAAAAUCAGUUUAAACCCUUGCAAAUAGUCAAGUGAGUGCUUUGCAAGCAUGUGUCACUAAAUAUUUUAGUUUUCUUUUACAUUGUCAAAAAUGCUCUUGAGAGUCUACAAAACCCUUAUAGCCUUAUGGAGAAAGUCACUGAACCAGUCUUUUUGUUGUUGUUUUAUGGCCUUCUGGAGAUCACACUGUGAUUUUAUGUGCGCGUGUUUCUAGCAGUGUGGGAAAGGUGGGGAGGGGCACUAUCAGGGCUUACACUGAGCGUAUCAAACAGCCAUCUUUCUCCCAGAGACAGGAGAUAAACAUCAGACAUCCUUGGGUUGCUGCUGCACUUUUGAACCUACCUACUCUAACACACCCACUCGAUCCACAUGGCCAAGAUCAAAACAAAUUCAGAGAGAGAGAGAGAAGGAAGGAAGGAAAGCAAACUAAAAACUACGAGCAAACUAAGCCACUCUACCACUCCUCCCCACAAACUGAGGUUAAAUGGAAAUGUGUGUGAACCCCCCCCCCCCACCCUCCUUCUUCUAAUGAUUACAAAUGACUGGUCUCCUCUCCUCUCCUCCUAUUCUCUGGAUGUGGGCAGCAGAGGGAGGGGGCCAUGCGGGGGUGGCAAUUUGAACUGCUUCUCGCUUCAGGGAACCACAAAUGAAUUACAGCAGGAAAAAAAAAAAGUCUUAUCAGUGCGAUGGGAGAGGAGAGCGUGUUGGUGGUAAAAAAAAGAAGGGAGACCGGAUUAUCGCUGAUCCAUAGUGGGUAAUAAGUAUUUGGGGAGAUGUGCCAGGCUCUAAUGGCACAUAAUUUAUAAAGUCCACUUCAGUACUGUCAGCACAUCACUGUUGAGUGAGGAAGAUUGCCAGUGCCGCUGCCAAGCGGACGACCACAGCCCUUCCCUCUACACCAGUGGAGGCCAUGCCAAGGGUCAGAUGUUAAAUAUUAAGAUAGCUGGAUUUGCUGAGGGCAAUUUCAUGUCUGAGUGCACUGCUAAGUGUUGAUUGGUCCACAGUCUGUGUGUCGUGUAUGUGUGUGUGUGUGUGUGUGUCUGUAGCACGGUUGUGCAGUGACCCCUGUCAAUAGUUCAGACACCACCCUGCAGGCUACACUCAGGCUGUUCCUCUGAGCUGCCUCAUCAUCCUAUAUCUUCUCCACAGACUCAGUUUUGAUCACAUCCUUCAGCAUGGCUGUGCAGCUCCCUUCAGAUUAGUUGUCUUACUACAGUUUACUGGUGUGUGGAUUUACUGCAUCCAAGCAGUCUUGAUGUUGAGGGUCAGGUGCAUUUAAUGGCUUCUGCCGUCAUUAUGGAACCGGCAACUUGUGGAGAAGUCCUCUUCCCUCAUUCAAAAAUGAGAGCAGAUGAGUAUCCAUGAAGUUGAAAUGUUAGGUGCAGAUAAGCAGCACUAAGGGGAAAAAGGGAUGAAAAAUGAGAAAAACAAAAGAAUGACUGAGAGAGGGGGAUUGCAAACAUUUUUACAAGAGCACUGCACGAGGGAUCGGAAUGGACAUGUCAGAGUUGGAGCGCUGAUGAAAUGUCAAAAGCACUAGGAGCAGACACAGUGCCAAAAACAACGGUGGAAUAAAGAGAAGAAGACUUCAGAAGAACAGUAGGCCUACUGUCUUGGACUAUGUCUCUGUGUAACAGGAGUGGAGUGAGGCAGUGGCCCAUGGGAAAGCACACAGUGAGAAUGAGACAAUGGGCUGUGGAGAGCUGGUGAGUGAAAAGCCGAAUUUCGAGAAACACUACACGACCUGCUCCCACCAGACUCCUACACUGCACACUGCAUCCUCCUGCACAUUUAAUGGCCUUUUGACAGCCUGUCAGCGAGCCAGCGAUCACUAUCUUCACAAAGGGAAAGAUUCAGUCAGUCAUCGUACUGGUUCUGAAAUGGAGGUUGAACCCUCGUCCACACUCUUCUCUGCAGUACACUCAUUUUAAAGAAGCACCCACAGGUCGUUUCCGACAACCGCAGGCAGUUUGCCACUGGAGCCCGAAUGGAUGAAUGACUGAACAUUCAGGAACCGUGUCUGGACAGUCUGUCAAAUCGCCUGAGAGCAGGUUCUUCAUUUUGUUUUGUCUUGUCCGAUGGCAGUAAGAUCUGUGAGGCAUAUUCACCGGCCACCUGGCUAACGGAAACCUCUCUAAUUUGGCAGGAGUGAGAUGACACAAAGGGAGCCCUCUGGGGCUUGGUGUCUGCUCCAUCAAUGUCAGGAGUGGGAAAUCUCAUUUCAGAUAAUAAAUUACAUAAAGUGCAACCUGUAAGAGUUGAACUGAUUUUCCAAUGGCUUACGGCUCAGGCAAGAUAAAUGAGAGAAUAUCAGUUUUUAAAUGUCUGUUUUUGGAAGACAGGGUGCUGGCAUGGGUCAUUAUGAAUAGUUAUCAAUUUUUUUUUUAAUUACUCACCAUAUCUGUGAUUAAUGUGGUACAGUGCAUACAUUAAUCUAAAAUAAAGUGUGAACCAUGGACACACGGAUAUCUAGGUAGAACAAACACACACACACACACACACACACACA
Long non-coding RNA from Clupea harengus (Atlantic herring), 2685 nucleotides. RefSeq lists it as uncharacterized. The transcript has 3 exons. The record is from RefSeq and is a predicted model, not a curated record. NCBI's taxonomy places the organism in Eukaryota, Metazoa, Chordata, Actinopteri, Clupeiformes, Clupeidae.